RNAcentral lists this unclassified non-coding RNA (358 nucleotides) under soil metagenome. RNAcentral's name for it is "partial contains 5.8S ribosomal RNA, internal transcribed spacer 2, and large subunit ribosomal RNA". The stretch from base 1 to 120 matches the Rfam family "5.8S ribosomal RNA", at positions 35 to 154 of the family's 154-position model. The record is from RNAcentral.
GAUGAAGAACGCAGCGAAAUGCGAUAAGUAAUGUGAAUUGCAGAAUUCAGUGAAUCAUCGAAUCUUUGAACGCACAUUGCGCCCGUCAGUAUUCUGGCGGGCAUGCCUGUUCGAGCGUCAUUACGCCCCUCAAGUCCCCUGUGGACUUGGUGUUGGGGAUCGGCGAGGCUGGUUUUCCAGCACAGCCGUCCCUUAAAUUAAUUGGCGGUCUCGCCGUGGCCCUCCUCUGCGCAGUAGUAAAACACUCGCAACAGGAGCCCGGCGCGGUCCACUGCCGUAAAACCCCCCAACUUUUUAUAGUUGACCUCGAAUCAGGUGGGACUACCCGCUGAACUUAAGCAUAUCAAUAAGCGGAGGA